AUGUAUGCUCCCCUGCUAUGCUAUGAGUUUAUAAUUUAUAAUUAAAAUAAACAAACAAAAAGCAGGACCUCACAAGUUUCGAU
This 83-nucleotide small nucleolar RNA is filed under the name Drosophila yakuba. RNAcentral's name for it is "snoRNA:GE27094". The record is from RNAcentral. Lineage: Eukaryota; Metazoa; Arthropoda; Insecta; Diptera; Drosophilidae.